RNAcentral lists this ribosomal RNA (386 nucleotides) under uncultured prokaryote. RNAcentral's name for it is "partial 16S ribosomal RNA". The record is from RNAcentral.
CCCUAUGGGGCGCUUCACGACUUUCCCAGGCUGGCUUCCCUCCUUGCCUUCAUCCUGAUCCUUGUUGAGGCCUAUGGCUUCACCCAAAUCUUCAGCCGUCAUGAGAUGGUCCAGAAAAGCGCAUCGCUUCCCGCCCUGAUUUUUGUUGUGCUGAUGAGCCUGCUUCCUGAAAUGCUGACGCUGAAUCCCGUAAAUCUCGUGCUGGGGCUGAUGAUCAUCAUCGUCCAUCACCUGCUCAUCUAUUACAAUAAACCCGAUCACCUCGACAGAAUUUUUGCAGCAGGAUUUUUCACCUCGAUCGGCGGGUUCAUCUAUGUGCCGUUUUUAAUCUGGUUCCUUUUCAUCAUCAUUAGUUUCCUGGUAUUCCGUGCGGGUAGCGGGAGAGC